UUAUUGGGGAAAUCUAAUCAACAGACAAGAGCAGGACUAUCGAGAUAGACAAUUGAGUAUGUGUCUAUGUAGGAUUCUGAAGGAUGUUGCAGUUCAUCAUGAUGUUAGCAGAAAUGUGCCAAUGGGAUUUGCAUUUAGAAAUGGCAUAUUCAGCUUUGCUAAUGAUGUUUUUAGUAUUCACUGUUCCCUUGGUGAUUCAUAAUAACUUCUUGAAUUGCAUGGUCUUGUACCAGUGAUGCUUCAUUCAAAUAUCUGCCCUAUCAACUUUUGAUGGUAGGAUAUAGGCCUACCAUGGUUUCAAUGGGACAUGGGGAAUAAGGAUUCAAUCCUAGAGAGGGAGCCUGAGAAAUGGCUACAACUGUUACAACCC
Molecule: non-coding RNA, 370 nt
Filed under: Termitomyces sp. J132
Lineage: Eukaryota; Fungi; Basidiomycota; Agaricomycetes; Agaricales; Lyophyllaceae
Description: Eukaryotic small subunit ribosomal RNA
Rfam family: Eukaryotic small subunit ribosomal RNA
Source: Rfam by way of RNAcentral